UAGGGAAUCUUCCACAAUGGACGCAAGUCUGAUGGAGCAACGCCGCGUGAGUGAAGAAGGUUUUCGGACCGUAAAGCUCUGUUGUUGGUGAAGAAGGAUAGAGGUAGUAACUGGCCUUUAUUUGACGGUAAUCAACCAGAAAGUCACGGCUAACUACGUGCCAGCAGCCGCGGUAAUCGUAGGUGGCAAGCGUUGUCCGGAUUUAUUGGGCGUAAAGCGAGCGCAGGCGGAAGAAUAAGUCUGAUGUGAAAGCCCUCGGCUUAACCGAGGAAUUGCAUCAGAAACUGUUUUUCUUGAGUGCAGAAGAGGAGAGUAGAACUCCAUGUGUAGCGGUGGAAUGCGUAGAUAUAUGGAAGAAUACCAGUGGCGAAGGCGGCUCUCUGGUCUGCAACUGACGCUGAGGCUCGAAAGCAUGGGUAGCGAACAGGAUUAGAUACCCUUGGUAGUCCAUGCCGUAAACGAUGAGUGCUAAGUGUUGGGAGGCUUCCGCCUCUCAGUGCUGCAGCUAACGCAUUAAGCACUCCGCCUGGGGGAGUACGACCGCAAGGUUGAAAC
This 555-nucleotide ribosomal RNA is filed under the name uncultured bacterium. RNAcentral's name for it is "partial 16S ribosomal RNA". It matches the Rfam family "Bacterial small subunit ribosomal RNA", at positions 355 to 900 of the family's 1533-position model. The record is from RNAcentral.